Hypanus sabinus (Atlantic stingray) is the source of this 765-nucleotide long non-coding RNA. RefSeq lists it as uncharacterized. The transcript has 4 exons. NCBI's taxonomy places the organism in Eukaryota, Metazoa, Chordata, Chondrichthyes, Myliobatiformes, Dasyatidae. The record is from RefSeq and is a predicted model, not a curated record.
CUGGGACACGUAGUCUUCAGUGUUGACACAAGUCUUUAAAAAGAUAAGCUUCAGUGUUCACGGUAGAACAGAGAAAUACAAUAGAGUCAAUGAACAACUACACACAGGUGUGCAGACAGCCAAUGUGCAAAAGAAGACAAACUGUGCAAGUGAAAAGAAAUACUGUAAAGCAAACACGAGGAAAUCUGCAGAUGCUGGAAUUUCAAACAACACAUACAAAAUGCUGGUGGAACACAGCAGGCCAGGCAGCAUCUAUAGGGAGAAGCACUGUCGACGUUUCGGGCCGAGACCCUUCGUCAGGACUAACUGAAAGGAAAGAUGAAAUCUUUCACAUAGGGAGCCUGCGUACUCCCAUCAACCUGCACCCAGACCGUAGCCCUCCAUACCCCUACCAGCCAGAAUUGUUGCUCACUGGAGGUGUCUAGAGACUGUUGUGCAAAAGUCCCAGGAGAUCAGCAGUUUCUAAGACACUCAAACCACCCCAUCUGGCACCAACAAUCACUCUACAGUCGAAGUUACUGAGGUCACUUUUCUUCCCUGUUCUGAUGUUUGGUCUGAACAACAACUGAACGUCUUACCAUGUCUGCAUGUUUUUAUGCCUUGUGUUGCUGCCAGAUGAUUGGCUGAUUAGCUAUUUGCAUUAAUAAAUACCUAAUAAAGUGGCCACAGAGUGUAUUUCAACUUGCCUAAAAAUCUGUAGCCAGGAGCAUUAAGGGAUAUGGGGAAAGUGUCAUUCAUGUAAAAAGCCAACUGUAAUCUUGUUAA